GGUUAAGCGACUAAGCGUACACGGUGGAUGCCCUGGCAGUCAGAGGCGAUGAAGGACGUGCUAAUCUGCGAAAAGCGCCGGCGAGGUGAUAUGAACCCUUGACCCGGCGAUGUCCGAAUGGGGAAACCCAGUGCAAUCCGUUGCACUAUCGUUAACUGAAUACAUAGGUUAACGAGGCGAACCGGGGGAACUGAAACAUCUAAGUACCCCGAGGAAAAGAAAUCAACCGAGAUUCCCCCAGUAGCGGCGAGCGAACGGGGAGCAGCCCGGAGUCUGAAUCAGCUUGUGUGUUAGUGGAACGGUCUGGAAAGUCCGACGGUACAGGGUGAUAGUCCCGUACACGAAAGCACACUUGCUGUGAACUCGAAGAGUAGGGCGGGACACGUGGUAUCCUGUCUGAAUAUGGGGGGACCAUCCUCCAAGGCUAAAUACUCCUGACUGACCGAUAGUGAACCAGUACCGUGAGGGAAAGGCGAAAAGAACCCCGGCGAGGGGAGUGAAAAAGAACCUGAAACCGUGUACGUACAAGCAGUGGGAGCCUCUUUAUGGGGUGACUGCGUACCUUUUGUAUAAUGGGUCAGCGACUUAUAUUCUGUAGCAAGGUUAACCGUAUAGGGGAGCCGAAGGGAAACCGAGUCUUAACUGGGCGUUAAGUUGCAGGGUAUAGACCCGAAACCCGGUGAUCUAGCCAUGGGCAGGUUGAAGGUUGGGUAACACUAACUGGAGGACCGAACCGACUAAUGUUGAAAAAUUAGCGGAUGACCUGUGGCUGGGGGUGAAAGGCCAAUCAAACCGGGAGAUAGCUGGUUCUCCCCGAAAGCUAUUUAGGUAGCGCCUCGUGAACUCAUCUUCGGGGGUAGAGCACUGUUUCGGCUAGGGGGCCAUCCCGGCUUACCAACCCGAUGCAAACUACGAAUACCGAAGAAUGUUAUCACGGGAGACACACGGCGGGUGCUAACGUCCGUCGUGAAGAGGGAAACAACCCAGACCGCCAGCUAAGGUCCCAAAGUCAUGGUUAAGUGGGAAACGAUGUGGGAAGGCACAGACAGCCAGGAUGUUGGCUUAGAAGCAGCCAUCAUUUAAAGAAAGCGUAAUAGCUCACUGGUCGAGUCGGCCUGCGCGGAAGAUGUAACGGGGCUAAACCAUGCACCGAAGCUGCGGCAGCGACACUAUGUGUUGUUGGGUAGGGGAGCGUUCUGUAAGCCGUUGAAGGUGUGCUGUGAGGCAUGCUGGAGGUAUCAGAAGUGCGAAUGCUGACAUAAGUAACGAUAAAGCGGGUGAAAAGCCCGCUCGCCGGAAGACCAAGGGUUCCUGUCCAACGUUAAUCGGGGCAGGGUGAGUCGACCCCUAAGGCGAGGCCGAAAGGCGUAGUCGAUGGGAAACAGGUUAAUAUUCCUGUACUUGGUGUUACUGCGAAGGGGGGACGGAGAAGGCUAUGUCAGCCGGGCGACGGUUGUCCCGGUUUAAGCAUGUAGGCGGAGGUUCCAGGUAAAUCCGGUACCUUUUAACGCUGAGGUGUGAUGACGAGGCACUACGGUGCUGAAGUGAUAAAUGCCCUGCUUCCAGGAAAAGCCUCUAAGCAUCAGGUAACACGAAAUCGUACCCCAAACCGACACAGGUGGUCAGGUAGAGAAUACCAAGGCGCUUGAGAGAACUCGGGUGAAGGAACUAGGCAAAAUGGUGCCGUAACUUCGGGAGAAGGCACGCUGAUGUGUAGGUGAAGCCCCUGCGGGCGGAGCUGAAAUCAGUCGAAGAUACCAGCUGGCUGCAACUGUUUAUUAAAAACACAGCACUGUGCAAACACGAAAGUGGACGUAUACGGUGUGACGCCUGCCCGGUGCCGGAAGGUUAAUUGAUGGGGUUAGCGGCAACGCGAAGCUCUUGAUCGAAGCCCCGGUAAACGGCGGCCGUAACUAUAACGGUCCUAAGGUAGCGAAAUUCCUUGUCGGGUAAGUUCCGACCUGCACGAAUGGCGUAAUGAUGGCCAGGCUGUCUCCACCCGAGACUCAGUGAAAUUGAACUCGCUGUGAAGAUGCAGUGUACCCGCGGCAAGACGGAAAGACCCCGUGAACCUUUACUAUAGCUUGACACUGAACACUGGUCCUUGAUGUGUAGGAUAGGUGGGAGGCUUUGAAGCGUGGACGCCAGUCUGCGUGGAGCCAACCUUGAAAUACCACCCUUUAAUGGCUGGUGUUCUAACGUAGACCCGUAAUCCGGGUUGCGGACAGUGUCUGGUGGGUAGUUUGACUGGGGCGGUCUCCUCCCAAAGAGUAACGGAGGAGCACGAAGGUUGGCUAAUCCUGGUCGGACAUCAGGAGGUUAGUGCAAUGGCAUAAGCCAGCUUGACUGCGAGCGUGACGGCGCGAGCAGGUGCGAAAGCAGGUCAUAGUGAUCCGGUGGUUCUGAAUGGAAGGGCCAUCGCUCAACGGAUAAAAGGUACUCCGGGGAUAACAGGCUGAUACCGCCCAAGAGUUCAUAUCGACGGCGGUGUUUGGCACCUCGAUGUCGGCUCAUCACAUCCUGGGGCUGAAGUAGGUCCCAAGGGUAUGGCUGUUCGCCAUUUAAAGUGGUACGCGAGCUGGGUUUAGAACGUCGUGAGACAGUUCGGUCCCUAUCUGCCGUGGGCGCUGGAGAAUUGAGGGGGGCUGCUCCUAGUACGAGAGGACCGGAGUGGACGCAUCACUGGUGUUCGGGUUGUCAUGCCAAUGGCACUGCCCGGUAGCUAAAUGCGGAAGAGAUAAGUGCUGAAAGCAUCUAAGCACGAAACUUGCCCCGAGAUGAGUUCUCCCUGAGACUU
This 2797-nucleotide ribosomal RNA is filed under the name Enterobacter hormaechei. RNAcentral describes it as "partial 23S ribosomal RNA". It matches the Rfam family "Bacterial large subunit ribosomal RNA". The record is from RNAcentral. Lineage: Bacteria; Pseudomonadati; Pseudomonadota; Gammaproteobacteria; Enterobacterales; Enterobacteriaceae.